GUAUGUAGUUCAGUGGUAGAGCACUUGCCUAGAUGUGUGAGGCCUUGGGUUCAAUUCCCAGUUAAACA
Molecule: transfer RNA, 68 nt
Filed under: Marmota monax (woodchuck)
Lineage: Eukaryota; Metazoa; Chordata; Mammalia; Rodentia; Sciuridae
Description: tRNA.Undet
Source: RNAcentral